RNAcentral lists this ribosomal RNA (253 nucleotides) under uncultured bacterium. RNAcentral's name for it is "partial 16S ribosomal RNA". It matches the Rfam family "Bacterial small subunit ribosomal RNA", at positions 524 to 776 of the family's 1533-position model. The record is from RNAcentral.
UACGGAGGGAGCUAGCGUUGUUCGGAAUUACUGGGCGUAAAGCGCACGUAGGCGGACUGAUCAGUUGGGGGUGAAAGCCCAGGGCUCAACCCUGGAACUGCCUUCAAUACUGUCAGUCUUGAGUCCGAGAGAGGUGAGUGGAAUUUCCAGUGUAGAGGUGAAAUUCGUAGAUAUUGGAAAGAACACCAGUGGCGAAGGCGGCUCACUGGCUCGGUACUGACGCUGAGGUGCGAAAGUGUGGGGAGCAAACAGG